UACGAAGGGGGCUAGCGUUGUUCGGAAUUACUGGGCGUAAAGCGCGCGCAGGCGGCCAUUCAAGUCAGGGGUGAAAGCCCAGAGCUCAACUCUGGAACUGCCUUUGAAACUGUAUGGCUUGAGUAUGAGAGAGGUGAGUGGAAUUCCCAGUGUAGAGGUGAAAUUCGUAGAUAUUGGGAAGAACACCGGUGGCGAAGGCGGCUCACUGGCUCAUUACUGACGCUCAGGCGCGACAGCGUGGGGAUCAAAC
This 250-nucleotide ribosomal RNA is filed under the name uncultured bacterium. RNAcentral describes it as "partial 16S ribosomal RNA". It matches the Rfam family "Bacterial small subunit ribosomal RNA", at positions 524 to 773 of the family's 1533-position model. The record is from RNAcentral.